RNAcentral lists this ribosomal RNA (627 nucleotides) under uncultured fungus. Its description in RNAcentral is "LSU rRNA". It matches the Rfam family "Eukaryotic large subunit ribosomal RNA", at positions 23 to 664 of the family's 3401-position model. Lineage: Eukaryota; Fungi. The record is from RNAcentral.
ACCCGCUGAACUUAAGCAUAUCAAUAAGCGGAGGAAAAGAAACCAACAGGGAUUGCCUCAGUAACGGCGAGUGAAGCGGCAAAAGCUCAAAUUUGAAAUCUGGCUCUUUCAGGGUCCGAGUUGUAAUUUGUAGAAGAUGCUUCGGGUGUGGUCCCGGUCUAAGUUCCUUGGAACAGGACGUCAUAGAGGGUGAGAAUCCCGUAUGUGACUGGGUACCUACGCUCAUGUGAAGCUCUUUCGACGAGUCGAGUUGUUUGGGAAUGCAGCUCAAAAUGGGUGGUAAAUUUCAUCUAAAGCUAAAUAUUGGCCAGAGACCGAUAGCGCACAAGUAGAGUGAUCGAAAGAUGAAAAGCACUUUGGAAAGAGAGUUAAACAGUACGUGAAAUUGUUGAAAGGGAAGCGCUUGCAAUCAGACUUGCGCCUAGUCGAUCAUCCGGGCUUCUGCCCGGUGCACUCGAUUAGGCUCAGGCCAGCAUCGGUUUGGGUGGUUGGAUAAAGGCUUGGGGAACGUAGCCUCCUUCGGGGGGUGUUAUAGCCCCAGGUGCAAUGCAGCCUACCUGGACCGAGGACCGCGCUUCGGCUAGGAUGCUGGCGUAAUGGUUGUAAGCGACCCGUCUUGAAACACGG